GAGUUUGAUCAUGGCUCAGGAUAAACGCUGGCGGCGUGCAUGAGACAUGCAAGUCGAACGAACGACCCCGGGCUUGCCUGGGGAAGUUAGUGGCGGACGGCUGAGUAACGCGUAGGUGACCUGCCCAGAAGUGGGGAAUAACUGCCCGAAAGGGUGGCUAAUACCGCAUGUGGCCACAUGUUCAUUCGUGUGACCAAAGCCGCAAGGCGCUUCUGGAGGGGCCUGCGUUCGAUUAGCUCGUUGGUGAGGUAACGGCUCACCAAGGCGACGAUCGAUAGGUGGUCUGAGAGGACGAUCACCCAGACUGGGACUGAGACACGGCCCAGACUCCUACGGGAGGCAGCAGUCGGGAAUUUUGCUCAAUGGGGGAAACCCUGAAGCAGCAACGCCGCGUGAGGGACGAAGGCCUUCGGGUUGUAAACCUCUUUUCUCAGGGACGAUAAUGACGGUACCUGAGGAAUAAGCCACGGCUAACUACGUGCCAGCAGCCGCGGUAAUACGUAGGUGGCAAGCGUUGUCCGGAUUUACUGGGCGUAAAGAGCGCGCAGGCGGUCGAGUAAGUCGAAUGUGAAAGCCCCCGGCUCAACUGGGGAUCGUCAUUCGAUACUGUUCGACUUGAAGAUGGGAGAGGGAAGCGGAAUUUCAGGUGUAGUGGUGAAAUGCGUAGAUAUCUGAAGGAACACCAGUGGCGAAGGCGGCUUUCUGGCCCAUUCUUGACGCUGAGGCGCGAAAGCUAGGGGAGCGAACGGGAUUAGAUACCCCGGUAGUCCUAGCCGUAAACGAUGAACACUAGAUGUUGGUGGUAUCAACCCCGCCAGUGUCGUAGCUAACGCAUUAAGUGUUCCGCCUGGGGAGUACGGCCGCAAGGCUAAAACUCAAAGGAAUUGACGGGGGC
Molecule: ribosomal RNA, 895 nt
Filed under: uncultured Chloroflexota bacterium
Lineage: Bacteria; Bacillati; Chloroflexota
Description: bacterial SSU rRNA
Rfam family: Bacterial small subunit ribosomal RNA
Source: RNAcentral